This 163-nucleotide ribosomal RNA is filed under the name Agrostis stolonifera. RNAcentral's name for it is "5.8S ribosomal RNA". It matches the Rfam family "5.8S ribosomal RNA". Rfam says of the family: 5.8S ribosomal RNA (5.8S rRNA) is a component of the large subunit of the eukaryotic ribosome. It is transcribed by RNA polymerase I as part of the 45S precursor that also contains 18S and 28S rRNA. RNAcentral also lists the same sequence under 2 other names. The record is from RNAcentral. Lineage: Eukaryota; Viridiplantae; Streptophyta; Magnoliopsida; Poales; Poaceae.
ACACGACUCUCGGCAACGGAUAUCUCGGCUCUCGCAUCGAUGAAGAACGUAGCGAAAUGCGAUACCUGGUGUGAAUUGCAGAAUCCCGCGAACCAUCGAGUCUUUGAACGCAAGUUGCGCCCGAGGCCAUUCGGCUGAGGGCACGCCUGCCUGGGCGUCACGC